This 451-nucleotide ribosomal RNA is filed under the name uncultured bacterium. RNAcentral describes it as "partial 16S ribosomal RNA". It matches the Rfam family "Bacterial small subunit ribosomal RNA", at positions 354 to 796 of the family's 1533-position model. The record is from RNAcentral.
GUGGGGAAUAUUGGACAAUGGGGGGAACCCUGAUCCAGCCAUGCCGCGUGUGUGAAGAAGGCCUUUUGGUUGUAAAGCACUUUAAGUGGGGAGGAGGCUUACCUGGUUAAUACCUGGGCUAAGUGGACGUUACCCACAGAAUAAGCACCGGCUAACUCUGUGCCAGCAGCCGCGGUAAUACAGAGGGUGCGAGCGUUAAUCGGAUUUACUGGGCGUAAAGCGCGCGUAGGUGGUUAAUUAAGUCAAAUGUGAAAUCCCCGAGCUUAACUUGGGAAUUGCAUUCGAUACUGGUUAGCUAGAGUAUGGGAGAGGAUGGUAGAAUUCCAGGUGUAGCGGUGAAAUGCGUAGAGAUCUGGAGGAAUACCGAUGGCGAAGGCAGCCAUCUGGCCUAAUACUGACACUGAGGUGCGAAAGCAUGGGGAGCAAACAGGAUUAGAUACCCUGGUAGUCC